RNAcentral lists this ribosomal RNA (846 nucleotides) under uncultured bacterium. Its description in RNAcentral is "bacterial SSU rRNA". It matches the Rfam family "Bacterial small subunit ribosomal RNA", at positions 8 to 814 of the family's 1533-position model. The record is from RNAcentral.
AGAGUUUGAUUCUGGCUCAGGACGAACGCUGGCGGCGUGCCUAAUACAUGCAAGUCGAGCGAGCUUGCCUAGAUGAUUUUAGUGCUUGCACUAAAUGAAACUAGAUACAAGCGAGCGGCGGACGGGUGAGUAACACGUGGGUAACCUGCCCAAGAGACUGGGAUAACACCUGGAAACAGAUGCUAAUACCGGAUAACAACACUAGACGCAUGUCUAGAGUUUGAAAGAUGGUUCUGCUAUCACUCUUGGAUGGACCUGCGGUGCAUUAGCUAGUUGGUAAGGUAACGGCUUACCAAGGCAAUGAUGCAUAGCCGAGUUGAGAGACUGAUCGGCCACAUUGGGACUGAGACACGGCCCAAACUCCUACGGGAGGCAGCAGUAGGGAAUCUUCCACAAUGGACGAAAGUCUGAUGGAGCAACGCCGCGUGAGUGAAGAAGGGUUUCGGCUCGUAAAGCUCUGUUGGUAGUGAAGAAAGAUAGAGGUAGUAACUGGCCUUUAUUUGACGGUAAUUACUUAGAAAGUCACGGCUAACUACGUGCCAGCAGCCGCGGUAAUACGUAGGUGGCAAGCGUUGUCCGGAUUUAUUGGGCGUAAAGCGAGUGCAGGCGGUUCAAUAAGUCUGAUGUGAAAGCCUUCGGCUCAACCGGAGAAUUGCAUCAGAAACUGUUGAACUUGAGUGCAGAAGAGGAGAGUGGAACUCCAUGUGUAGCGGUGGAAUGCGUAGAUAUAUGGAAGAACACCAGUGGCGAAGGCGGCUCUAUGGUCUGCAACUGACGCUGAGGCUCGAAAGCAUGGGUAGCGAACAGGAUUAGAUACCCUGGUAGUCCACGCCGUAAACGAUGAGU